UCACCCUGCCUUGGAGCCAGCCAGUGAUGGACUGAAAGCUCUACACAUUGUGAGCUAAAAUAAACCUUUUCUCCUUUAACCUUGGGUGUUGGGUAUUUUGCCUCAGCAGUGAGAAAAGUAACUGAGAUGGUAAGAAAUCCCAGAAAUGUGACAACCAACGUUUAAUUUAUUGCCAUAGUGGAUGACAUGAAAAUAUAAAAAGUGAAGAUAUAAGACCACAUAGUGGCCUGAGAUCAAUGACUACUGGGUGCCUCCUCACCUCUUUACCUGGGCAACUAAGAAUUAUGAAUUCUUAAAGCAAUUUCCAGGAAUUGGGAUGGAUGGAUAGGAAGUGGGGAGUCUGAAAUUCUGAUGCCAGGUAUGUUGAGGGGAGACUGUGCCAUAAUAAAUAUUCUUAACUUGUAAAUUAAAGCACUAGAAACAACAAAUGAAUAAGGUUUUGAGCACAGUUAAGUAAGCUGAAACCUGAGAGCUAGGAUGAUGACACAGGGAUGCUAUGUGCUACUAAACCCGCUAAUUUCACUCUUCCUACAGAAAGGCUGUACUUCCCAGUUUGUGACCCAUGCAUGAGCUGUAGGCACGAGUGACGUGCUGUACCUCACUUCCAGAUGGCAUGGCGACCUCUUAAGGAAGGUCACGUCUGAUUUGCCACUUGGAGAUCAGCGUCAGAAUUUUUGUGUUGCUGUCAGUGCAGCUGGAAAAAUUCACACAAGACCUGUCACAGCUUGACGCCACCCUAUCCAUCCUUUGGGAGGGGCAACCUGUUAGAGUGAGCAUUGCAGGCUGCUCCAGGACCACUGCUCUAUACCUCCUCACCCUUGAUGGAUUCCCUCACACACGCAUGGUCUGCUCAGAGAACACAUGCAGACUGCAGUGUUUAAGGGAUGGAUGAAGAAGCUGUAUGCAGGCAAGAGAUUCAUCCCAUUCAGCAGAUAUAAGCAGUAUACCGUACUUACCGUAAUUUUCACCCAGCUGAUUUCCAAUUAACAUUUGUUAAAUAAAAUAAACUAAAG
This 1013-nucleotide long non-coding RNA is filed under the name Chinchilla lanigera (long-tailed chinchilla). RNAcentral describes it as "lncRNA (ENSCLAG00000026317.1)". The record is from RNAcentral. Lineage: Eukaryota; Metazoa; Chordata; Mammalia; Rodentia; Chinchillidae.